RNAcentral lists this ribosomal RNA (442 nucleotides) under uncultured bacterium. RNAcentral's name for it is "bacterial SSU rRNA". It matches the Rfam family "Bacterial small subunit ribosomal RNA", at positions 958 to 1398 of the family's 1533-position model. The record is from RNAcentral.
AACGCGAAGAACCUUACCAGGGCUUGACAUGGGCAGGACGCACUCAGAGAUGGGUGUUCCCCGCAAGGGGCCUGCUGCACAGGUGCUGCAUGGCUGUCGUCAGCUCGUGUCGUGAGAUGUUGGGUUAAGUCCCGCAACGAGCGCAACCCUCGCCUUCAGUUGCCAUCAGGUUUGGCUGGGCACUCUGAAGGAACUGCCGGUGACAAGCCGGAGGAAGGUGGGGAUGACGUCAAGUCCUCAUGGCCCUUAUGUCCUGGGCUACACACGUGCUACAAUGGCGGUGACAAUGGGAAGCCAGGUCGCGAGGCCGAGCCGAUCCUAAAAAGCCGUCUCAGUUCAGAUUGCACUCUGCAACUCGGGUGCAUGAAGGUGGAAUCGCUAGUAAUCGCGGAUCAGCACGCCGCGGUGAAUACGUUCCCGGGCCUUGUACACACCGGUACUA